AUUGAACGCUGGCGGCAGGCCUAACACAUGCAAGUCGAGCGGAUGAAGGGAGCUUGCUCCUGGAUUCAGCGGCGGACGGGUGAGUAAUGCCCAGGAAUCUGCCUGGCAGUGGGGGAUAACGACCGGAAACGGGCGCUAAUACCGCAUACGUCCUGAGGGAGAAAGUGGGGGAUCUUCGGACCUCACGCUAUCAGAUGAGCCUAGGUCGGAUUAGCUAGUUGGUGGGGUAAAGGCCUACCAAGGCGACGAUCCGUAACUGGUCUGAGUGGAUGAUCAGUCACACUGGAACUGAAACACGGUCCAGACUACUACGGGAGGCAGCAGUGGGGAAUAUUGGACAAUGGGCGAAAGCCUGAUCCAGCCGUGCCGCGUGUGUGAAGAAAGUCUUCGGUUUGUAAAGCACUUUUAGUUGGGAGGAAGGGCAGUAAGUUAAUACCUUGCUGUUUUGACGUUACCAACAGAAUAAGCACCGGCUAACUUCGUG
Molecule: ribosomal RNA, 484 nt
Filed under: uncultured bacterium
Lineage: Bacteria
Description: partial 16S ribosomal RNA
Rfam family: Bacterial small subunit ribosomal RNA
Source: RNAcentral